AUUGAACGCUGGCGGCAGGCCUAACACAUGCAAGUCGAACGGUAACAGGAAGCAGCUUGCUGCUUCGCUGACGAGUGGCGGACGGGUGAGUAAUGUCUGGGAAGCUGCCUGAUGGAGGGGGAUAACUACUGGAAACGGUAGCUAAUACCGCAUAAUGUCGCAAGACCAAAGAGGGGGACCUUCGGGCCUCUUGCCAUCGGAUGUGCCCAGAUGGGAUUAGCUUGUUGGUGGGGUAACGGCUCACCAAGGCGACGAUCCCUAGCUGGUCUGAGAGGAUGACCAGCCACACUGGAACUGAGACACGGUCCAGACUCCUACGGGAGGCAUCAGUGGGGAAUAUUGCACAAUGGGCGCAAGCCUGAUGCAGCCAUGCCGCGUGUAUGAAGAAGGCCUUCGGGUUGUAAAGUACUUUCAGCGGGGAGGAAGGGAGUAAAGUUAAUACCUUUGCUCAUUGACGUUACCCGCAGAAGAAGCACCGGCUAACUACGUG
Molecule: ribosomal RNA, 490 nt
Filed under: uncultured bacterium
Lineage: Bacteria
Description: partial 16S ribosomal RNA
Rfam family: Bacterial small subunit ribosomal RNA
Source: RNAcentral